Molecule: long non-coding RNA, 1143 nt
Organism: Culex pipiens pallens (northern house mosquito)
Lineage: Eukaryota; Metazoa; Arthropoda; Insecta; Diptera; Culicidae
Exons: 3
Source: RefSeq, a predicted model, not a curated record
UGACUUUCGAAGCAGAAUUUUUUUUUGCAUCAACUGUCAAACCAAACCAAAACAAACGUCGGUGAUUCGUGAACGUGUGAAGAUGGUGAGCAAAAGUUGUUUGAAUUGAAUGCAACGCCAGAAUCUACUCGAUUAUCUCAGUGAUGUCAUUUUCCGGAAGUCAAGCAAACUGGUUCGGUUUCCCUGGCUGCGUCGCCGUCUGUUCCGCCGAGUAAUCGAAGGAAAAUUGGACUCGCCCUUCUAGCAGCUGCAAAAGGUCUUCCUACACCGGAAGUGCCACACGGCGUAACUUCAGGUCUGGCUGAUGACAAGUUCCGCAGGUAUUCUUCUGACCCCUAUGCCAACAAUCAACAGACAAAGUUGCGGGGUGAUGAUCCGGGAGGUCGUCGUGGUCAUUGGGAGAUGAUAGACGACUGACUGGCACCCUCGAGUACACCGCCCAUUCCCAACAGCUUCAAGAAUUAGUCAAAGUGAUCUCCGGCGAUGACGAAAACAGCGAAUUGGGACUCGAUCUGGGAACGGGAGGAAAGUUAAAUGGCCUUCGACAGUCGGGAUGAUCUCAUCAAGCCGGAAGACGCGCUGUUGUGAUGAAAGAAGGAAUCUACCAUGUUUGAACCGCUAAAGAAGGAAGGUGUAGUAACAUUUCUUCCAGCGAGGACAACAUCUUGGCUAAGAAAAGUACUCCGCCGAUGCCACCGAGCAAACCGUACACGGAAGAUAUCAAGGACAAUGGCCGAAUGUUCCUCUCGAGCCUACCCUCCAUCGAUGACGAAGUCGACGACAUUGGAAGAAAAGGUGUGGCACCCUCGUCGACUUCGUCAUCGUUGGAGGGUAGGCUUGAGAGGAACAUCUAGUCGCAGUCCCGCUUCCUUGUACGAAGUGUCACUAGCGCCUUCCUCUCUGGACGGUUCCAGCGGAUUCUUUCUUCAACUCCAUCAUACCGUGUUCCGGCUAGACUUCCACCGCAUGCAUCGACUGUGGCUCGAGCCUCAGGUGGGCCUGGACCUCUGUUAUUCGCUUCCACCAUCGGCAUCGCUGUCAUCUUCCGCGCGGCUGUCAUCAGUCAGGCUCGUCGGGGCCAGUCACCGACGUCAAGUCUACAAAAGUGCACACCAACCUCGUCCGAAGCGCUGGCCUAAAGAG